This 82-nucleotide ribosomal RNA is filed under the name Parapallidocercospora colombiensis. Its description in RNAcentral is "5.8S ribosomal RNA". It matches the Rfam family "5.8S ribosomal RNA", at positions 2 to 83 of the family's 154-position model. Rfam says of the family: 5.8S ribosomal RNA (5.8S rRNA) is a component of the large subunit of the eukaryotic ribosome. The record is from RNAcentral. Lineage: Eukaryota; Fungi; Ascomycota; Dothideomycetes; Mycosphaerellales; Mycosphaerellaceae.
ACUUUCAACAACGGAUCUCUUGGUUCCAGCAUCGAUGAAGAACGCAGCGAAAUGCGAUAAGUAAUGUGAAUUGCAGAAUUCA